Mesocricetus auratus (golden hamster) is the source of this 5495-nucleotide long non-coding RNA. RefSeq lists it as uncharacterized. The transcript is spliced from 3 exons. The record is from RefSeq and is a predicted model, not a curated record. Lineage: Eukaryota; Metazoa; Chordata; Mammalia; Rodentia; Cricetidae.
CCUUUCCAGCCCUCGCCUUCAUACAGUACAUUUAAAGUAGCAGUAACCUCUUUCUCCUCCCCCCGCAGCCUGCCUGGAAACAUUAGAAGGGACCGAGGCGGCGAGAUGUCUAAAAUAGGAAGCCGCUGGGGAUGGCUGGCCUGGCUGCCCGCGAUGCUGGCUGCGGGGAUCUGGACCGGCAGUGCAGAUGGAAAAGCUAGGAGGGGAUGCCGGGUGAGCCUUUGAACGUCUCCUUCCCAACCUCCCCCACGCUCAGCCGCUCUUGCAGGAGAGGAGAAGCCGUCUGCCCCUCCGCACUGCUGACUCCUAGGAGCCACGCCUCAGUGAUCCGCUGAUUUUGGAAGAAUGGCCAUGGAGUUGGGGUAGAGGGAUCAAGAGGAGAGGGAUGGGGGACAGGCAGACAUCUACAGGGCUCAGGUGAAGGUUUUCCUGCUAGGAGCCCAUGGUACUGUCCUCUACUGAAUGGGCUUGGACCAAGGCGAUGCUGACACAUAACGACACCUACACUAGGGCCUUCCCAGCUGGCAGUGGCUCCCAGAGAGCCAGCGGCUGCAGAUGUGGUCAGCCUGGCCACAAGAAGGCUCCUCCUGUUCCUUCACCCCUCCCCCCCCCCCCCCCACCUUGGAUGACAGGAUCCCGGCUCCCAGCCUCCUCCUGCCUUAAUUACAGGGAAGCUAGCUCUACCCAGGCCUGCUGUGGGCACCAGGCUCCCUGGAUCUCCUCAUUAAGGGUGCCUGGGGAGGGCUGUUUUGGGGUGGAGGAGGCCUAAGUGUAGAGAAUGGGACCAUAUUCCUCCAGUCCAUAGGUGAGUUUCCUAGGGCCCUGGGAGCACCGAGGGGGGGAUGUCUGGGGUUCAUUUGCAGAUGGGCAGUCAGAGCUUCUUCCUGAGCAGUACACAGUGGGGACAUAGCACAUAGGACAGGGCUGAAGCUGAGUGAGCUAUAGCACAUCUGUGAUUCCAAGUACCUGGGAGGCUUCGGUAGGAGGAUAGUGAGUUCAAGGCCAGCCUUAGCUGUGAGCCUGGGGCAGGCUGGCAAGCUGCUGAAGGGCUUGGCUAAGCCUCUCACAAUGAGGUCCAGAGUCUUGGGAAGGAGACCCGGGCUUCCAUGCUAGCUGUGCCUCCAGCGUGGGGUGCUGCCUUCUCUGGUCCAGCCAAGGAACAGAGCUUGAUUCUCUGGCAUUUUGUCCAUCCAUCAAUAAUCAUGUUUACAGAUGCUAUCAGAGUUCCCGCCCUCCAGGACUCCCUUAUGAUGAAUGUGUGUCCCCACCACAAUCCCCUUCCUUUCCUUGGUGACACAUCAGUGCUUUGGGGCUCAUCUCCUGUUGCACCCUUUGGCUGUGACUGCUGAAUCAAUCCCUUGCCCAUGGACACCUAGUUUACUACGGGUUGCCAUGCAAACAAGCAGCCGUACAAUCAAUUAUUAUUAUUUUUUCUUUUAAAAGUAGAGUCCCAUGUAACUCCAGGCUGGCAAAGAAUUCAUUGUGUGGUCAAGGAUGGCCUUGAACUUCUCAUCUUGUGGUUCCCACUCCUCAAGCACUGGGCAUGCGCAUGUGGCACCAUGCCUGGCUUUCAGUUCAGUGCCGGGGAUUGAACCCAGGAUUUCAUGCAUUCUAGGUAAACUCGCUACCAACUGAGCUACACCCACAACCCUGCAGUGAGUAUCUUGAUGCAUGUACCCCAUGCACAUCUGUCUGGUAACUUCUGUAGGACAAACCGUAAACACAGGGUUGACGAGGCAGAAAGGCCUGCCUUUGCACAAGGCAGCAAAAGUCUGUGAACUCUACCAAGAGUCUGCAAGUACUGGGCUGGGCCUCGCUCUGGUGCAGGCCUGGCGUAGCCAGCAUCCCUCGUCCUGUGGGUUUGUCAUCUAGCUGAGGAGAAGCACACACUUCCACACUUCCAUCAGAUAGACGCUGCUGGGAAAGCAGACGGGGGUGGGGGGGGUGGCAGGGGAAUACCUCCAGCAGUGUUACGACGGGCCAGGCUGCACAGAGCACAAGGGGCCAUCCCGUAGGCGUGGGCAGAGCCUGUGCAAAGGCUCAUGGGUAGAGGUUUGGAUGAUGGCCAGUGUGCUCAGGGGGGGGUGGUCAGGUGCAAGAGGGCUCACGAGAAAGGUCGGAGAUGGCUUCUUGGAGAGCUCCGUGGACUGGGGGGUGUGGGCCGUGGCCAGGGGCUGACCCAGGAGGCUCCUUGGCUGCUGCAUGGAGAAUGGUCAGAGUGAACUCAGAGAGGCCACAGGGGCCACUGCUAUUAUUGAAGGUAAAGACCCCGGGGACUCCAGCAGGUGAUGGAGGUGGAGGGGGGAGAGUUCACAGAUUCAAGACCCUGUGGGGAUCUUGGGUGCAGUUGCAGGGUCAGCAGAGAAGGGGACAGCCCAGGGUGACUUGAAGGCUCUUGUUGCCAUAGUUGGUCUGCUCCAGAGGGCUGAGUGAGGCAGCAGAAGGAGGGCUGGGGCUGGGCACAAGGGGCUCUGCUGUAGAGCCUGAUGUUUGAGGAAUACAGACCACCGCAGAGAGGUCAGGGAGCUCAGAGCCGCAGGAAGGAUGGCAUCUGUAUCCGUCUGAGACCUGCAGUUCCCUGCAUAGCCUAUUAGGCCAGCUCACUGCAAAGCCUUGCUCGGCCUCCAGGACUAUUGCUGCAUGCACAGAAAGGAGUUAAAUAGGGGCUGUGGAAUGGCUUAGAUGGUAGGGUGCUCACCUUGCAUGCAGGAAGUCCCAGGUUCUAGCCCCAGCUCUGCAUUAAGCGGAGCUUGGUAAUCCCAGCACUUGUAGAUGAAGACAAGAGGAUCAGAAGUUCAAAGCCAUCCUCUGAUACACUGGAGGCCAGCCUCAGCUACCAGAGAUCCUGUCAAAAGGAAAAAAAAGGAGGGGCGAGAGGGAAGUGGGAAGGAACGGAAAAAGAGAUAAAAGGAGUGGGCAGACACGGAUAGGAGGGAGGAGCAGUGAGGGAAUGGGAACCCUGCAGAGGGCUUGCAGGAGAGAGGACAGGAGCCUGGUACAAGACUGGUCAUCGUUGCCUCUAGAAAGGUCACACCAACAGGCCAGCAUGCAGACACUGCCAGCUCUGUCAAGUCCUAGGCUCGGCCGAGCGGGAAAUCUUCUGGAUCUAGGAAGACUUACCACGCAGAGAUCUGAGAGCAAAGAGGGUAAGUGCAGGAACACGAGGGCUUGUGAUCAGGUCAGCGGAUCCUAGAAAGCACUUGCCAGGGAGGGGCCGGCCACAGAGGACUGGGAGGGAUGGAGAGUCCAGGAACUGGAGGGUGUAGGCAUGGCUUCCUAUCACAUACACUGAGGUACGAUGUGCUCCAACAGCCUCCGGGCUGUUUUCAUGCCCCAGAUUUUCCUGUUGAACUUCCCUGUCUAAGACCGAAUGGAGCCCAGGAGGAGCCCAAAUGCCCUGCUCCCACUGAGUUAAGCGGUAUGGAGUCUGGCCAGGCUGGGUGCUCUCUCUUGACACUGCCUGGGCACAGGUGACAGAGCUCAGACUUCACAAUAAGACCAGGUGCCAAUCUACCUGCCUUGGUCCAAACCCCACUGUGCACCUGCUGGGUGACCCUCAGCACACGAGCUCCCUUCUUAGUCCCACUACGCACCUGCCCGCGUGAGCUGCCCAGCAUGGCUGUCCCCACAUCUUCUCCUUGUUGCCUUCCUUCUCCCCCUUUUCCGCCUCUGUCUUAGUCACUGUCCCGUUGCUGUGAGGAGACACCACGGCCAAGGCAGCUCCUAUAAAAGGAAGCAUCUACCUGGGGGCUUGCUUACAGCUUCAGAGGGUAGUCUGUCAUCAUGGCAGGGAGCAUGUCGGGCAGGCAUAGGGUUGAGAGCUUCAUCCCGGUUCACUGGAAGGCAGUCAAGCAAAGAGAAAGAGACACCAGGCCUGGUGUGGGCUUUUGAAACCCCUAAGGCCCCUCCCAGUGACACGCCUCCUCAACAAGGCCACGCCUCCUAAUGCUUCAUAAACAGUUCGACUGGGGGCUAAACAUGCAAACCCACGAGCCUGUGGGGGCCGCUGUCUUUCAAGCCACCACACCCUCUUAUCCCCGCCACAUGCCAGCCUCUUGGGUUUUGGUUUGUUUUACAAGAGGAUAUUGCUAUGUGACCAGCCUGGAACUUAGCAUCUUCCACCCCAGCUUCUGGAGUGCCUGGAUUCCAGGUGUGUGUCACCAUGGAGCUUGCCCCUCACCCCAGGUCUGCUGCAACGCCUCUGUAGUAGAUUCUCCCAGCUCUGCCCUGGACCUGGCUCUGACCACAGGCUGCUGGCUACUUCAAGCGUCCCCCAUUCACCCUGCCUUCUGUGGUAAUUUCCUCUGCACGCCUCCUAAAAUAGAGUAUGCUCUCCCAGACCCCACCCUCACCGCAGCUCCAUUCUGUACUUGAAGCACCCAGAAGACCUCCACAAACCCACGAUACGACAAGUGACACAGCUCAGCUGUCCUUUGUCUUUUCCUUAAUUUAUUGUGCAUACAACCCAGUGAACCCACGGGGCUUGAGGUAGCGCCCCCAGAGUUAUUCCUACAUAACUUCCAUGUAUCUCCUGUUUCUCUGACUCUUCAUUCUCAGGCCUUCCAUAGUCAGGAAGGGCUUGAACACAAGGCCACACAAGGCACUCCAACAACCCUUCACCCCCCCCAACUCAGUGACUGAGAAGUGACCCAGCUGGGAUUUGAACCCUUGCCUCUGUGGCGGCCUCAUGGAAAGGAGGUUGUCUGGUAUGUGUGACAGAGAUGCAAAGAGUCAGCUAGAAGAGCUGUCCCACCAGUCCUUGCCCUGACCACCAGGACCCAAGUUCACAUCUGGAACCCCUGCGAGCCAUGUCUUCCUGGCUCUGGAUUGAAGAGUCUCCUUUUCAGGCCUUGAGCUUCAUGGCAGACACAAACAUCAAACAAGUCCUGAGCCACACCAGGUUUGACGUGGCAUGAUCCUGGCCACCUCGUCCAUUUCUGCAGAGAGACAAGGACACAUAGUGAAUUCCUUCUGAGGACAGUGGCUUCCACGGCUGCCUGUUCAGAGAUCUGCAAUGCUGGACAGUCACGCCAUGCCUAUCCCACUACUGCUGCCCAGCUGGACUUGGCUAUCACCUGCCUGGCUGGGCAGAGUAAGCUUGCAUGGGGAAGCCCCUGAAUUACCACAUUUCCUGACCUGAACUCAUAUCUGUGCAAUCCACCUGACCUCCCCACACCAGGCCUCUUGGCUGGUGUUCAGGCAAGUCAGGAAAAACCACAAGAACCUGAAGUGUUUACAGAUGGGCAACAGCAGAAGUCUGUGCGAUUCAGCAAAUGCUGCCCGAGGCCGGUGCCAAAGGCUGGAGACUUGGGAAUGAGUAAACCAGAGUGCCAGCCAUGGAAAUCUCCAAUCAUGGGAGAGGGGCUCUCAAAGCAUCACCGUGUGGGGAGGCUGCCCACCAUGGCAAGAGGGCUUCAAAUGCUCUUUUACUGUGGAGGGUUGGACACAAGAACCAAGCAGGGUGCCAGACCACGCGGCUCAUCCAUCACAUGACA